GACGAACGCUGGCGGCGUGCUUAACACAUGCAAGUCGAACGGAAAGGCCCUGCUUGCAGGGUGCUCGAGUGGCGAACGGGUGAGUAACACGUGGGUGAUCUGCCCCUUACUUUGGGAUAAGCCUGGGAAACUGGGUCUAGUACUGGAUAGGACCAUGCUGUAGGUGGUGUGGUGGAAAGAUUAGUUUCGGUAAGGGAUGAGAUCGCGGCCUAUCAGCUUGUUGGUGGGGUAAUGGCCUACCAAGGCGUCGACGGGUAGCCGGCCUGAGAGGGUGGACGGCCACGUUGGGACUGCGAUACGGCGCAGACGCCUACGGGAGGCAGCAGUGGGGAAUAUUGCACAAUAGGCGCAAGCCGGAUGCGGCGACGCCGCGUGGGGGGUGACGGCCUUCGGGUUGUAAACUCCUUUCAGCCAUGACGAAGCCCUUGUGGUGACGGUAGUGGUAGAAGAAGCACCGGCUAACUACGUG
Molecule: ribosomal RNA, 469 nt
Filed under: uncultured bacterium
Lineage: Bacteria
Description: partial 16S ribosomal RNA
Rfam family: Bacterial small subunit ribosomal RNA
Source: RNAcentral